ACGAACGCUGGCGGCGUGCUUAACACCUGCCAGUCGCACGGAAAGGCCCUGCUUUUGUGGGGUGCUCGAGUGGCGAACGGGUGAGUAACACGUGAGUAACCUGCCCCUGACUUUGGGAUAACUUCAGGAAACUGGGGCUAAUACCGGAUAGGAGCUCCUGCUGCAUGGUGGGGGUUGGAAAGUUUCGGCGGUUGGGGAUGGACUCGCGGCUUAUCAGCUUGUUGGUGGGGUAGUGGCUUACCAAGGCUUUGACGGGUAGCCGGCCUGAGAGGGUGACCGGCCACAUUGGGACUGAGAUACGGCCCAGACUCCUACGGGAGGCAGCAGUGGGGAAUAUUGCACAAUGGGCGGAAGCCUGAUGCAGCAACGCCGCGUGCGGGAUGACGGCCUUCGGGUUGUAAACCGCUUUCGCCUGUGACGAAGCGUGAGUGACGGUAAUGGGUAAAGAAGCACCGGCUAACUACGUG
RNAcentral lists this ribosomal RNA (467 nucleotides) under uncultured bacterium. RNAcentral describes it as "partial 16S ribosomal RNA". It matches the Rfam family "Bacterial small subunit ribosomal RNA", at positions 29 to 507 of the family's 1533-position model. The record is from RNAcentral.